This 227-nucleotide unclassified non-coding RNA is filed under the name Melitaea cinxia (Glanville fritillary). Its description in RNAcentral is "misc RNA ENSMCXG00005009330.1". The record is from RNAcentral. Lineage: Eukaryota; Metazoa; Arthropoda; Insecta; Lepidoptera; Nymphalidae.
CAGUAUUUGGCAUGCGGAUCUACAAAUAUGGAACUUGGUUUCAAGUAACGUGCGUCGACGAGUGAAGUUAAAAGAUCCGUUUAAAAGACACCAGGCAGCAAUUCUAUCAACCAAUCAGCGUUGUUGUUAUUUGAUUUAUCUAAACAGAAUUUCAGGUCGUUAGCAAAUAUAAAGUACCUAUUUGGAAUUGUGGUAAGAUACCGUGAUAUCGUUUAUGAAGAUAUUAA